RNAcentral lists this ribosomal RNA (532 nucleotides) under uncultured bacterium. RNAcentral's name for it is "bacterial SSU rRNA". It matches the Rfam family "Bacterial small subunit ribosomal RNA", at positions 979 to 1509 of the family's 1533-position model. The record is from RNAcentral.
CCUUGACAUGCUGAGAACUUUCCAGAGAUGGAUUGGUGCCUUCGGGAACUCAGACACAGGUGCUGCAUGGCUGUCGUCAGCUCGUGUCGUGAGAUUGUUGGGUUAAGUCCCGUAACGAGCGCAACCCUUGUCCUUAGUUACCAGCACGUUAUGGUGGGCACUCUAAGGAGACUGCCGGUGACAAACCGGAGGAAGGUGGGGAUGACGUCAAGUCAUCAUGGCCCUUACGGCCAGGGCUACACACGUGCUACAAUGGUCGGUACAAAGGGUUGCCAAGCCGCGAGGUGGAGCUAAUCCCAUAAAACCGAUCGUAGUCCGGAUCGCAGUCUGCAACUCGACUGCGUGAAGUCGGAAUCGCUAGUAAUCGUGAAUCAGAACGUCACGGUGAAUACGUUCCCGGGCCUUGUACACACCGCCCGUCACACCAUGGGAGUGGGUUGCUCCAGAAGUAGCUAGUCUAACCCUCGGGAGGACGGUUACCACGGAGUGAUUCAUGACUGGGGUGAAGUCGUAACAAGGUAAGCGUAGUGCU